RNAcentral lists this ribosomal RNA (455 nucleotides) under uncultured bacterium. Its description in RNAcentral is "SSU rRNA". It matches the Rfam family "Bacterial small subunit ribosomal RNA", at positions 26 to 518 of the family's 1533-position model. The record is from RNAcentral.
AGGAUGAACGCUGGCGGCGUGCCUAAUGCAUGCAAGUCGAACGCAGGGCCUUCGGGCUGCUGCGUGGCGCACGGCUGAGGAACACGUGGGUCAUCUGCCCUUUGGUGGGGGAUAGCUCGGAGAAAUCCGAAUUAAACCCGCAUACGCUCCGCAAGGAGGAAAGCCGCAAGGUGCCGAAGGAGGAGCCUGCGGCCCAUCAGGUAGUUGGUAGGGUAAUGGCCUACCAAGCCGGUGACGGGUACCUGGUCUGAGAGGACGACCAGGCAGACUGGGACUGAGACACGGCCCAGACUCCUACGGGAGGCAGCAGCAAGGAAUUUUCCCCAAUGGGCGCAAGCCUGAGGGAGCAACGCCGCGUGGAGGAUGACGGCUUUCGGGUUGUAAACUCCUUUUGGGUGGGACGAUAAUGACGGUACCAUCCGAAUAAGCCCGGCUAACUCCGUGCCAGCAGCCGC